RNAcentral lists this ribosomal RNA (556 nucleotides) under uncultured fungus. RNAcentral's name for it is "SSU rRNA". It matches the Rfam family "Eukaryotic small subunit ribosomal RNA", at positions 194 to 755 of the family's 1831-position model. The record is from RNAcentral. Lineage: Eukaryota; Fungi.
GGAAGGGGUGUAUUUAUUAGAUUAAAAACCAAUCGAGGCAACUCGUUUACUGGUGAAUCAUGAUAACUAUUCGAAUCGCAUAGCUUUGCUGGCGAUGGUUCAAUCAAAUUUCUGCCCUAUCAACUUUCGAUGGUAGUAUAGAGGACUACCAUGGUACAACGGGUAACGGAGAAUUAGGGUUCGAUUCCGGAGAGGGAGCCUGAGAAACGGCUACCACAUCCAAGGAAGGCAGCAGGCGCGCAAAUUACCCAAUCCCGAUACGGGGAGGUAGUGACAAUAAAUAACAAUACAGAGCUUUUUAAGUUUUGUAAUUGUAAUGAGAACAAUUUAAACCUCUUAACGAGAACCAAUUGGAGGGCAAGUCUGGUGCCAGCAGCCGCGGUAAUUCCAGCUCCAAUAGCGUAUAUUAAAGUUGUUGCAGUUAAAACGCUCGUAGUUGGACUUUGGCCUUGGCUGGGCGGUCUUUGCGAAUGCAUAGUACUUCUCUGGCUGAGGCUUUCCUUCUGGCGAACUAUUGUGCUAUUUAUUUAGUGCGAUAGGGAACCAGGACUUUUAC